AAGGACUAAGGUGAAAGCUGACUGCCCGCACCGCCCCAGGCGCACUGGGUAGGACUGAAAGGCAGGGACUAAGGUGACAGCUGACUCUGCCGGGGCGGAGUGCGUGUCCUCCCACCGUGCUGGCGCUGAACUGACUGUCCGCUGCCAAGGGAAGUGACAGCCGCAGCCGGGCUCUCAGCCAGCGGCCAGGCGCCCCGCGGACCAUGCUCUCCAGUACGCAGAACGCGGGCGGCUCCUAUCAGCGGGUCCGCGGGGCGCUUGAUACACAGAAAUGCAGUCCAGAGAAAAGUGCCUCAUUUUUCAGUAAAGUGACAUAUUCCUGGUUUAGCAGAGUAAUUACUUUAGGCUAUAAGAGACCUUUGGAAAGAGAGGAUCUUUUUGAACUAAAGGAAAGUGAUUCCUUCUGCACUGCGUGUCCCAUCUUUGAAAAACAAUGGAGAAAGGAAGUUUUAAGGAAUCAAGAGAGGCAAAAAGUAAAGGUAUCUUGUUAUAAAGAGGCACAUAUCAAGAAACCAUCUCUACUCUAUGCAUUGUGGAACACCUUUAAAUCCAUCCUGAUUCAAGUUGCCUUAUUCAAAGUGUUUGCUGAUAUUUUGUCCUUCACUAGCCCACUCAUAAUGAAGCAAAUUAUCAUUUUCUGUGAACACAGCUCAGAUUUUGGCUGGAAUGGCUAUGGCUAUGCAGUGGCACUUCUUGUUGUAGUCUUUUUGCAAACUCUGAUUCUUCAGCAAUAUCAACGUUUUAACAUGCUCACCUCAGCAAAAGUUAAGACAGCUGUAAAUGGACUGAUCUACAAAAAGGCCUUACUUUUAUCAAAUGUUUCUCGACAAAAGUUUUCCACUGGGGAAAUUAUUAACUUGAUGUCAGCAACUCAUGGACUUGACAGCAAACCUCAAUCUCCUCUGGUCUGCCCCUUUUCAAAUCCUAAUGGCCGUAUAUCUCCUUUGGCAAGAGCUGGGUCCAGCAGUGUUAGCAGGGGUGGCAGUCCUUGUGUUUGUUAUACCAAUAAAUGCUUUAGCUGCAACUAAAAUAAAAAAGUUAAAGAUCCUCAAACUUUAUGCAUGGGAACCCUCCUAUAAAAAUAAGAUUAUCAAAAUUCGAGAUCAGGAAUUGGAAUUUCAAAAAUCAGCUAGGUAUCUUACUGUAUUUUCCAUGUUGACAUUAACCUGCAUUCCAUUCUUGGUGUCCCUGGCAACCUUGUGUGUCUAUUUCUUACUGGAUGAAGGAAACAUUUUAACAGCCACUAAAGUGUUCACAUCGAUGUCUUUGUUUAAUAUUUUAAGGAUUCCUCUGUUUGAGUUACCAACCGUGAUCUCAGCUGUGGUCCAGACAAAGAUAUCCCUGGGCCGUUUGGAAGACUUUCUCAACACUGAGGAGCUUCUUCCUCAAAGUAUUGAAACGAACUAUACAGGAGAUCAUGCUAUUGGGUUUACAGAUGCUUCUUUCUCCUGGGAUAAAACAGGAAUGCCAGUUCUAAAAGAGGCUCUGUGGCUUAUGUUUCUCAGCAGGCCUGGAUUCAGAAUUGCAUUUUGCAAGAAAACAUUCUCUUUGGCUCCAUCAUGAAGAAAGAGUUUUAUGAGCAAGUAUUGGAAGCCUGUGCUCUCCUUCCAGAUUUGGAGCAGUUGCCAAAGGGAGAUCAAACUGAGAUUGGAGAAAGAGUAAGGAAACUGUAAUUUAUCAUGUAAAGAAAUAUAAUCCCAUUCAGCUGUGCUAAUAAAAUGUUUAUGGCCUUUUU
Homo sapiens (human) is the source of this 1735-nucleotide long non-coding RNA. Ensembl annotates it as ATP binding cassette subfamily C member 13 (pseudogene). Its record names the gene ABCC13. NCBI's taxonomy places the organism in Eukaryota, Metazoa, Chordata, Mammalia, Primates, Hominidae. The record is from Ensembl.